GACGAACGCUGGCGGCGUGCCUAAUACAUGCAAGUAGAACGCACAGUUUAUACCGUAGCUUGCUACACCAUAGACUGUGAGUUGCGAACGGGUGAGUAACGCGUAGGUAACCUGCCUGGUAGCGGGGGAUAACUAUUGGAAACGAUAGCUAAUACCGCAUAAUAUUGAUUAUUGCAUGAUAAUUAAUUGAAAGGUGCAAUUGCACCACUACCAGAUGGACCUGCGUUGUAUUAGCUAGUAGGUGAGGUAACGGCUCACCUAGGCGACGAUACAUAGCCGACCUGAGAGGGUGAGCGGCCACACUGAGACUGAGACACGGCCCAGACUCCUACGGGAGGCAGCAGUAGGGAAUCUUCGGCAAUGGACGAAAGUCUGACCGAGCAACGCCGCGUGAGGGAGGAAGGUUUUCGGAUCGUAAAGCUCUGUUGUAAGAGAAGAACGGGGGUGAGAGUGGAAAGUUCACACUGUGACGGUAUCUUACCAGAAAGGGACGGCUAACUACGUG
This 505-nucleotide ribosomal RNA is filed under the name uncultured bacterium. Its description in RNAcentral is "partial 16S ribosomal RNA". It matches the Rfam family "Bacterial small subunit ribosomal RNA", at positions 28 to 507 of the family's 1533-position model. The record is from RNAcentral.